This 568-nucleotide ribosomal RNA is filed under the name uncultured bacterium. RNAcentral's name for it is "bacterial SSU rRNA". It matches the Rfam family "Bacterial small subunit ribosomal RNA", at positions 294 to 852 of the family's 1533-position model. The record is from RNAcentral.
GAGAGGGUGAUCGGCCACACUGGGACUGAGACACGGCCCAGACUCCUACGGGAGGCAGCAGUAGGGAAUCAUCCGCAAUGGACGAAAGUCUGACGGUGCAACGCCGCGUGAGUGACGAAGGUUUUCGGAUCGUAAAACUCUGUUGUUGGGGAAGAACAGGUAUCAUUCGAAUAGGGUGAUGCUUUGACGGUACCUAACCAGAAAGCCCCGGCUAACUACGUGCCAGCAGCCGCGGUAAUACGUAGGGGGCAAGCGUUGUCCGGAAUUAUUGGGCGUAAAGCGCGCGCAGGCGGUCCUUUAAGUCUGAUGUGAAAUCUCACGGCUUAACCGUGAGCGGUCAUUGGAAACUGGGGGACUUGAGUACAGAAGAGGAGAGUGGAAUUCCACGUGUAGCGGUGAAAUGCGUAGAGAUGUGGAGGAACACCAGUGGCGAAGGCGACUCUCUGGUCUGUAACUGACGCUGAGGUGCGAAAGCGUGGGUAGCAAACAGGAUUAGAUACCCUGGUAGUCCACGCCGUAAACGAUGAGUGCUAGGUGUUAGGGGGUUUCCGCCCCUUAGUGCUGGAGU